GCUAACUACGUGCCAGCAGCCGCGGUAAAACGGAAGUCACAAGCGUUGUCCGGAAUUACUGGGUGUAAGGGAGCGCAGGCGGGAGAACAAGUUGGAAGUGAAAUCCAUGGGCCUCACCCAUGAACUGCUUUCAAAACUGUUUUCCCUUGAAUAGUGCAGAGGUAGGGGGAAUUCCCGGUGUAGCGGUGGAAUGCGUAGAUAUUGGGAGGAACACCAGUGGCGGAAGGCGGCCUACUGGGCACCAACUGACGCUGAGGCUGGAAAGUGUGGGUAGCAAACAGGAUUAGAUACCCUGGGUAGUCCACACCGUAAACGAUGAUUACUAGGUGUUGGAGGAUUGACCCCUUCAGUGCCGCAGUUAACACAAUAAGUAAUCCACCUGGGGAGUACGACCGCAAGGUUGAAACUCAAAGGAAUUGACGGGGGCCCGCACAAGCAGUGGAGUAUGUGGUUUAAUUCGACGCAACGCGAAGAACCUUACCAAGUCUUGACAUCCCUUGACGAACAUAGAAAUAUGUUUUCUCUUCGGAGCAAGGAGACAGGUGGUGCAUGGUUGUCGUCAGCUCGUGUCGUGAGAUGUUGGGUUAAGUCCCGCAACGAGCGCAACCCUUAUGGUCAGUUACUACGCAAGAGGACUCUGGCCAGACUGCCGUUGACAAAACGGAGGAAGGUGGGGAUGACGUCAAAUCAUCAUGCCCUUUAUGACUUGGGCUACACACGUACUACAAUGGCGUUAAACAAAGAGAAGCAAGACCGCGAGGUGGAGCAAAACUCAGAAACAACGUCCCAGUUCGGACUGCAGGCUGCAACUCGCCUGCACGAAGUCGGAAUUGCUAGUAAUCGUGGAUCAGCAUGCCACGGUGAAUACGUUCCCGGGCCUUGUACACACCGCCCGUCACACCAUGAGAGCCGGGGGGACCCGAAGUCGGUAGUCUAACCGCAAGGAGGACGCCGCCGAAGGUAAAACUGGUGAUUGG
RNAcentral lists this ribosomal RNA (977 nucleotides) under uncultured organism. Its description in RNAcentral is "SSU rRNA". It matches the Rfam family "Bacterial small subunit ribosomal RNA", at positions 496 to 1478 of the family's 1533-position model. The record is from RNAcentral.